This 466-nucleotide ribosomal RNA is filed under the name uncultured Anoxybacillus sp. RNAcentral's name for it is "bacterial SSU rRNA". It matches the Rfam family "Bacterial small subunit ribosomal RNA", at positions 921 to 1377 of the family's 1533-position model. The record is from RNAcentral. Lineage: Bacteria; Bacillati; Bacillota; Bacilli; Caryophanales; Anoxybacillaceae.
GACGGGCCGCACAAGCGGUGGAGCAUGUGGUUUAAUUCGAGGCAACGCGAAGAACCUUACCAGGUCUUGACAUCCCUGACAACCCGAGAGAUCGGCGUUCCCCUUCGGGGGACAGGGUGACAGGUGGUGCAUGGUUGUCGUCAGCUCGUGUCGUGAGAUGUUGGGUUAAGUCCCGCAACGAGCGCAACCCUCGACCUUAGUUGCCAGCAUUCAGUUGGGCACUCUAAGGUGACUGCCGGCUAAAAGUCGGAGGAAGGUGGGGAUGACGUCAAAUCAUCAUGCCCCUUAUGACCUGGGCUACACACGUGCUACAAUGGGCGGUACAAAGGGUCGCGAACCCGCGAGGGGGAGCCAAUCCCAAAAAGCCGCUCUCAGUUCGGAUUGCAGGCUGCAACUCGCCUGCAUGAAGCCGGAAUCGCUAGUAAUCGCAGGUCAGCAUACUGCGGUGAAUACGUUCCCGGGUCUU